Molecule: ribosomal RNA, 420 nt
Filed under: uncultured eukaryote
Lineage: Eukaryota
Description: SSU rRNA
Rfam family: Eukaryotic small subunit ribosomal RNA
Source: RNAcentral
CAAUAGCGUAUAUUAAAGUUGUUGCGGUUAAAAAGCUCGUAGUUGGAUUUCUGCCGAGGACGACCGGUCCGCCCUCUGGGUGAGCAUCUGGCUCGGCCUGGGCAUCUUCUUGGAGAACGUAUCUGCACUUGACUGUGUGGUGCGGUAUUCAGGACUUUUACUUUGAGGGAAUCCGAGUGUUUCAAGCAGGCAUACGCCUUGAAUACAUUAGCAUGGGAUAACAAGAUAGGACCUCGAUUCUAUUUUGUUGGUUUCUAGAGCUGAGGUAGUGAGUAAUAAGGAUAGUUGGGGGCAUUCGUAAUUAACUGUCAGAGUUGGAAUUCUUGGAUUUGUUAAUGACGGACUACUGCGAAAGCAUUUGCCAAGGAUGUCCCCAUUGAUCAAGAACGAAAGUAGGGGGAUCGAAGAUGAUCAGAUACC